Molecule: long non-coding RNA, 1385 nt
Organism: Panicum virgatum (switchgrass)
Lineage: Eukaryota; Viridiplantae; Streptophyta; Magnoliopsida; Poales; Poaceae
Exons: 5
Source: RefSeq, a predicted model, not a curated record
GAAUAAAAAUGGGGAAACCUGAUCCCUCAUUCCCUGAACUGGACACAGUGUGAAUUCAGUGAACUGAAUCACUGAACAAACCUGAACUGAAUUCAGUGAACAGGUCACUGAGUUCGACACGCCAAAUGAGGUAUAGGCUCAAGAAGAAAUACUUUGAUGGGGUAGCGGCCAAUCAAGUUAGGACUACAUCACCAUGUUCAUGUAUGAAUGAUGCACAAUGGAAAAAAUUGGUAGACGUGGUCAGACCCAAAACACAAGGAAAAAUGUGCAAACAGCCAACGGAACCGUGCAAAAGUCAAGUUGCCUGGUUGUACUGGAUCUCGGUCUUACAUUGCAGCAGCCUACGCCUCAAAGCAAGAUAAAUACAAAGAUACAGAGCCCACUGCAAUUGAUCUAUUCAAGUUGACGCAUUGCAGCAAAACUAAGGGUUUCAGUGAUAAUGCCAAGAAAGCUGUAGUAAGUACCUCUCCAUUUUUUGUAGUACACUGCAUAAUGAACUGUAUAAAUAAAUACAAACUGAUAAAUCAUUGUCUUGCUAGGACGAUAUGGAAGCCAUUUUGACAAGACCAGUACAAGAAGGGGAACAGGAAAAGACUUUCACCGAGAUUGUUUCCCAAGUGUUGUCGGAGUCAAGCACAUUCCUUCGUAAUGUGGGACUUAAGCAGACUGCCGCUCCAAAGUCUGUUUCACUGCAGAUGCAAGAGCUAUGAGCUCAAUUGGAGGCUGAGAAGGAAGAAUCUGCAGGACUUCAGCAAAAGCUCCAGAGGUUGGAAGCCCAUGCAGAAGAAUCUGAGGCAAAAUCUCAGAAACAAGCUGAGCAGAUUGACAAACAAGCUGAGCAGAUUGACAUCCUGAAGAAGGCAACAGUUGAUACUCAGAAUCUCGUUCGGCAGAUGAUAGAAUUUGGAUAGAGUCAAGUCAAUGAUCAGACUACUCCUUGACUUGGCUGUGCUCAGGAUGCUGGACUCAUUUUGGUGAUAUCUGACUUGAACUGUGCUCAGUUUGGUAUUGAUGUUUGGUGAUCCGGACUCAUUUUGGUGCCUGGAAUAGCUGCAUGGACCUUUACAUUGCCAUGUGUCUUUUGGUGAACUGGAUCAGUUGUGAUGCAUGGAUCUGGACCUGCACUCAGUUUGGUUUUGCUGUUGGUGAAGUGGUGAUGAUGGACUUGGACCUAUACUCAGUUUGAUUUUGCUGUUGGUGAAGUGUUCGAUGAUGAACCUGUGAUCGGUUGCCAUAAGACUGUUUGACUUAUUUUGAUGUACUGUUUGACUUAUUUUGGAUGAAUGAUUAUUGUGGUCUAAAUGGCUGGUGAAUGGUCACAACUUAUGAACCAUUAAUUUGUGUGGCAUGAUUUGUUGGGAUGUCUAAUUAUCAUUGUUAUUAAA